AGAGUUUGAUCCUGGCUCAGGACGAACGUUGGCGGUGCGCUUAAUGCAUGCAAGUCGAGGGAGAACCAUUCGAUCCGUAAGGACUGGAUGGGGAAACCGGCGAACGGGUGCGUAACACGUGAGGAACCUGCCCCGAAGACCGGGAUAGCCCGAGGAAACUCGGAUUAAUACCGGAUACCCUCUUUGGACCACAUGGUCCGCUGAGGAAAUGGUCCGCCGCUUCGGGAUGGCCUCGCGGCCUAUCAGCUUGUUGGUGAGGUAACGGCUCACCAAGGCAAAGACGGGUAGCUGGUCUGAGAGGACGAUCAGCCACACUGGGACUGAGACACGGCCCAGACUCCUACGGGAGGCAGCAGCAGGGAAUAUUGCACAAUGGGCGAAAGCCUGAUGCAGCGACACCGCGUGCGGGAUGAAGGCCCUCGGGUUGUAAACCGCUUUCAGGAGGGACGAAAAUGACGGUACCUCCAGAAGAAGGCCCGGCCAACUACGUGCCAGCAGCCGCGGUAAUACGUACGGGCCAAACGUUGUCCGGAUUUAUUGGGCGUAAAGGGCUCCGUAGCCGUUCAGCCACUCGAUUGUGAAAGCCCGGGGCUCAAUCCCCGGACGCCUGUUCAAACUGUUGUGACUUCCAUCCGGUAAAAGUAAUUGGAAUUCCUCCGGCUCCGGCGGAAUGCUCUCCUAUACACCCGAACCCCAAUU
Molecule: ribosomal RNA, 699 nt
Filed under: uncultured bacterium
Lineage: Bacteria
Description: bacterial SSU rRNA
Rfam family: Bacterial small subunit ribosomal RNA
Source: RNAcentral